Molecule: small nuclear RNA, 102 nt
Organism: Cynocephalus volans (Philippine flying lemur)
Lineage: Eukaryota; Metazoa; Chordata; Mammalia; Dermoptera; Cynocephalidae
Source: RefSeq, a predicted model, not a curated record
GUGCUCACUUUGGCAGCACAUGUCCUAAACUUGGAACAAUACAGAGAUUAGCAUGGCCCCUGAGCAAAGAUGACCCACAAAUUCAUUGUGUUCCAUAUUUUC